This 4908-nucleotide long non-coding RNA is filed under the name Equus asinus (donkey). Its description in RNAcentral is "lncRNA (ENSEASG00005025320.1)". Lineage: Eukaryota; Metazoa; Chordata; Mammalia; Perissodactyla; Equidae. The record is from RNAcentral.
AUUGGAAUCAUCUGAGGAACUUAAAAAAAUACUGACACUUGGAUCCAGAGAUCCUGAUUUAGUUGGUGUGGGAUGGGGCCAGGGCUUCUAAUUUUAACGUGCAGCUGAGAUUAGAGACAUCGUAAAUGCUUUCAAGUGUUGAGAGUAACUGAUCAGGGAUCUUCUAUUGACAAGCUCUCUUCUCCCCAUCCCCACCCUAUUCACUUUGCUAAUAGAAAAAGGACUUUAAUUCAGAAAUGAAGAGAGACAUCAGCUGGGCUUUCAAAGGCAGGGAGGAAAUCCUCGUGGCUUAUAAAAGCCACUCUAAAGACUCUUGCAGACAUCUUGUGAACAGUUUGUAGGUCUGGGCAGAGGCGUGCCUGUAGCCGAGAGGGGUGGAGCCGGGAUAGUAACGAGUUGUCUGUCGUUGGACAAGUUGUAAGAGUCUCCAGAAGUUAAAGGAGUCUUAGGAAAUAUGGGUCUUGAUAGAUAAGAGGCAUGUAAUAGGAAAUAGGGGAUACUGUGGCAAACUGGAGACUGGGCACCCCCGAAGAAGGGCAGCUCAUGCUGUCAUGCAAAAAUAGGAGCCAGGUGGUGGAAGAUGUCCUAAUUUUUCAAGAUGAGAAAAAAUGAGUCAGAGAGGUGAAGUGACUUUAUCAAGAUUGCACAGCUAGUUCCUGCAGAAGCCAAGUCAACAGUUUCAUAGUCAUUCUAUGUCUUUUGGUUGGAGAAUUUAAUCCAUUUGCAAUUAAGGCACCCUGCAAUAAACCGUCUCAAUGUCCACGUCUGGCCCUGUUGGGGUUUGAUUGCACAGGAAAGCAGAGGAAUGUUAGAAUCCUUGGAAGAAUCCAACACAAAGCGAUGUCUAUUUGAAGCCACAUGUCUUUUGAGCUGAUUCAGACCAGCUGAACCAAUUCACUCCCUCUCCAUUAGAAAGGGCCAUCCCACACUGUGGUCAUCAGAGACCAAAGGUUUGUCUGUCUUCAGUCUGAAGUCUUUCUUUGGACCUUUGGGACUAAUUGAAUAUAACCUUCCCCAUCAGGAAAAUAAUAAGACUUUAAAUGGAGCCUUCAAAGCUUGCUGAUGACAUCAGAGGAGUCACUGUGUGAUGAGAGAGGUCUCAAAAAUACUAUAAAGCACACCACAGGGAUCUGAAGAGCUCUUCUGAGCCCAGCAUGGAGCCCAGCCUAAAGCAAGAGGAGAAAACCCCAAGGUGCAGACUGAGAAAGAUCCUGGAGCCACACAGCCUGAUCCUGAGAUACUGCUUGGAUUACUCACUGAGCCCAAGGCUGAGGGCAGGAGAUGUUUUACACCACAUAUACUUCUCCCAGGGCUAUGUGCCUAUCUACAUGACCUGGGAAAGGGGGUCAAGGCUGUUCUGUUCAGGACUGAGAUACUGAUUGGCUCUGGAAAAUGUGUUUUAGGGUAGCCAGUAGGUUGAAGAUUAUGUCUUGGCCUUAGAAGUACCAAUCCAAGUCCAGAAUGUUCACACAAACUGGUAAAAAUCUGUUUCCUAGAUGCCAUGAGGAGGCCCCAGUGCUGGUUCCAGAGACCUUAAGGACAGGUGUCCUGGAGGGUUCUUAGCCACUAUGAAGACUGUAGAGAUAUUCCCAGAGUAAGAGAGGUGUUACAUCUAGAAGAGGGCAGUGGACAGCUAUAUGUCCACAUAGGAAAACAUGUCCUGAGAUGGGAUACACAAAGGGUACACAUACAGAGUCAGGAUAACAUUCAAUAUUCACUUGGCAAUGACAAUUGUCCAUGGGAGAAGAUGACUUGUGUGGUUUUAGGGAAUAGUGAUGGGGUGGAUUAGGCCUGGUUGUAGUGAUGGGGUGGAGAAGAGCAUCACCAGGUCCCUUAGGGAUAGUUUCCAAGACUUCUGGGAAGUGAGGUGGCAGAACAAGAGCAUCACUGCACACUUGAGAGUUGAACAUGAUGGGCAUGGAUAAUUGGAAGAGAACUGAAGAGGGCGGAGAAAACAGGGACUCUGGAUUCUGCAAGUCAUAGUGAUUUCCUCAGCAUUCUCUGACAAUAGGAUGCCAGCAAAGUCACCCAAAACUCAAUCAGAUUGUGAGUGACAAAUUCAGCACCAAAAUACGUUUUCACUGUGAACUGCUAUCUGGGACAGUUAAUACAAGACUAUUCAGGGAUCUCUGUUUAUACAGACAAUGAGCCAUUUGACUUUUCCCUAUUGUCUCUGUAUACAGCUUUGACUUUCACGUGGGUCUGCCAGUCUUCUUACAUAUCUUCCAUUAUUAGCUGAUGAGCACCUGUUCAAUUUCUAUUUUUUUUGGUCCCUCUAUCCAUGAUUUCAUAGUCAUAUAUCUUUGUGGAUGGCCCCUAAUACUCCCUGACAUUUACAUCCUUGUAUAGUCCCCUCCUACAUUGAUUCUUUGCUUCUUUAAAAACAAAAUUCAGUGGAAGUGAUAAUAUGUGACUUCAAAGCUAGGUCAUAAAGUCAUUGUGGCUUCCAACUUACUCCUUCUUAGAUUGCUUGUUCUGGGGGAAGCCAGAGCAUUCAAGAAUUCCUGUAAAGAAGCCCACAUAAAGAAGGAUUGAGGCUUCCAACCAUUACCCAAAACCCAACCAUUACACCAACACCACGUAAGGAAGCCACCUGAGAAGUGGAUUCCAAGCCUACAGACGGCUACAUCCCUGGCCAAUAUCUGAUUGCAGCCUUGCAAGAGAUCUUGAACCAGAGCCAUCCAGCUGCUCCUGAAUUUCUGACCCCUAGAAAGAGAGAUAAUGGUGAUCAUUGUUUUAAACCACUAAGUUUUGGAAUUACUUAUUAUGUAGCAAUAGUUAACUAAUAGGAAAGAGGACAAGAGCACAGAGGGGAAGGGCAAAGAGGCAGUGAAUCGCUCCAAGGCAGUGUGACUGAGACUUGAUUGACAAACUGGAAACAUGUGGUUGGCCAUAUUUCAGUAUUGCUAUGGACCAGUGACUCCUGUGCACCUCCCAUUUUCCCAUGUUGGUCGAAAAGUGGUUGUCCUAUGUCUCUCCCACCAACAUAUGUUGGGUGAGUUGGAGCAGAAAACUGGUCUUUUCAGUUCAGAGGUGUUCAACUCAACAGAAGCUGUACAUGAGCAGCUGAACUCAAGGAACCACACCUGCAACACUUCAUCCACAUCUAGAUCUGAGUAAAAUGGAUGGUGAACCUGAGUCUGGUGCCGUAAUAAAUGAAACCUGUGGAGGAGCUUGGGAAGGUCUGAGUGUAUUUUGCAUACAGAAGGAAUGUAGAUAAUUUGUGGCCAGUGGACAGAUGGUAGUAGUUUUAAAACAUAUUCACAAAUUCUUUGAAUCCUCCCACAAAAAGUGGAGUUUAAUUCCCUACCCUUUGAAUAUAAAUCAGUUUUAGAUACCUGCUUCUAAUUAGUAGAAUGCAGUUGAAGUGAUGUUACAUGACUUAGAAAGCUAGGUUAGAAAAGAUGAUAAAGUUCCCAUCCUGGCUCUCAGUCUGUACUUUUGCCCUUGGAGCUUUUGAAACCCAGUCAUCAUGUUGUGAGGCAGCCCAGGCCACAUAGGGAAACCACAUGUAAGUUUUCUGGCUAAUAGCCCCAGCUGAGGUUCGAGCAAUACCUUCCAAACAUGUGAGUGAGAGUGCUUUCAGAUGAUUCCAGCCUUUUGUGCUCACAGCUGAUGCCAGCUGGAGCAGAAACUAAAUUAUCCCCACCAAGCCCUGCUCAAAUUGUAGAUUUAUAAGCAAAGUAAAUGUUGUCAUUGUUUUAAAACACUAAGUUUAGGAGUCAUUUGUUAGGCAGCCACAGUAACUGUGACAAGAUCCUCUGUCUUUUCUUUCUUGGCUCCCCCAAUUUUUUUCAUCUUGGAGAGAAACCUGAGACACAUUCUGGGGUCCCUUUUCAUUAUUUUCUCCUUUGAGGUAGGGUACCAUUAGUCUCACCCAAUGGAAAAAGAAAAUGUAAAGACAUUGUCCAUUUGAGAAGGACAUGCCCAUAUUAAAUCAACUUUCAUUCUCUGUGUCAAGGGUGUAUUGUGAGAAAUUCUCCCUCAGUGUCCCAGCUCUCAUAUAACUAUGGUAACACAGCAACUGUCUCAAAGUGGCAAAUACCUUAGCGAGGUAAUCCAGUUUAUAUUUAUAACCUCAGGGAUAUUUCUCAAUAAGAGUAUGUAUUCCCAAAUGCACCAAGUACUUGAUAAAGAAUUGGACAGCAAUAGCCUUUCCUACCAUUUUUAAUAAACCUACAUAAUUCUCUAGCCAGGGGUCAUAUGCUAAUUCACCCUGUCUCUUAUGAUGCAACUUCACUCAAUAAAACUGUCAUCCCUUCUUCAUGAAAAAGGACAUCCUAAGCUUUUAAAGGCUCCUCUGCAUGUUGAUGAUAGCACUCAUGUAGGGAGCUAGAUCUCAUAUGUAAUCUGGUACCUCUUUCCAGUGAUGGCCUCCUUUAGUCCCCUGUAUAAUGUGCUAUAUGAAAUUAGUUUCAAACUGCCUCCAUAGCUGCAAUACCAGCCAUUCUUCUUUCCUUCUGGAAUAACUUCCCCUGUCUCUGAAGUGGCCAUGUGUCUUGUCCUGUUGGCAACACUGAAGGUAGUGGUAGGGGUCUUUCCCCGUGGCAUCUCCAGGAUAAGUCAUUGGUUCUACCAGCUUCCCUGGAUGCAGUGAGAGAGUCUUUCCUGUUUUCUCCCUUCUCCUAAGGGCUCAAAAAUACUUAGAAAUGCAGAGUAACCAGGGCAUCAAUUCAUGAACCAUGUUAUCUUCCCUCAUAGCCCUCUCAUAGCACUUCCACCUUCUGCCAUGUCCCUCAGGAACCAUCCUGUCACCAACCAUCCAACCUCAGCCAAGUGACCUUGCCACUGCUCCCAUGGGGAUGUCUUAUAGCCCUUUCCAGUUAGCCUCUUUCCAUAAUUUAAAAAAACCAUAAUACCAAAUCAACUGGCACUGGCAGGGACCCCAUAGUAAAUCCCAAACAUCAG